CAUAAACCACGUAAAUACAUUGUAUUAUACCAAAUACACAAUAAAACGUUUUUAGCAAUGUAAUACUGUAGGUGCCGUCUAAGUGUUUUUUUCUGUAAACAGAUGCUGGAUUAAAGUGGAGAGAGGCUUCAUCUGGAGUUUUCUGGGACCUGUUUGCUUCAUUCUUGCAAUAAACAUAAUACUCUUCAUCAGUAUCUUCAUCAGUCUGAAUUUAACUCUUAAAAACGUCAACCUUGAUGUUUCACACAUGAGACAAACCAAGAUUACGGUUUUUAAAACUCUGGCCCAGUUUGUGAUUUUUGGUUGUCCCUGGAUUCUGGGUCUCUUCAUUAAUAACAGUAAGAUGAUGGAGAUUCUCUUCCUGAUUUUGAACUCACAGCAAGGAACCUUCAUCUUCCUGGUCUACUGUGUCCUCAAUAAUGAGGUCAGAAAGCAGUAUGUGAAGUGGAUGAGAGCUGUCUUUCUCAGGCUCGAACCAAAUACCUUAUAAGAUGCCCCUCAUCCAAAAAAAAAUCUAAAGCCCAGAUAAUUCAUGUUAACUAAAUUGUAAUGUGUGUGUUUUUUAUAGAGGGCAACCAUACUGUGCAUAUAAUCAAGUAAAUUUGUGUUGUUUUUCAUAUUUUAUUUACACAUUUAUCAUUUUUAUAUCUCUUUUAUAAACUCUUUUAUUAUGUGUCAAACUAUAUGGCUUGGGUCCAUAAUGUCAUUAAUUGUCCAUUAACUUUGCAUGGUAUAGGAACACUGAGAAAGGAACUGUUCAGAUUAUUCAUUAAAUGCUUUGUUCAUUUUUACAAUGAUUAUGUCUCCUGCCUUCUGCUAUAGGCCUAUUCUCUGGGCUGGUAAAUGAGAUUUAGCAACAUUAUUCUGUAUUUUGUCAGUUUUUUAAUUCUUCUAGGAAAGCUAAAUGACUUGUUAUUGCAUUGAGAGCAUCUUGACCACACGCACAGUGUGAAAUGAUGGCACCAUAGAAACAAACUUCAAGAGCCUGUGGGAUAAAAACUGCAGAGAGGAAGGCUGAAUCCGAAACAGAACACUGCCAUACUUUAUAGUAGGCAAAAACCACUAAGUGAACGAAAAGUUUGUCCGAAAACUCAGUAUACGUAAAAUGUUAAGCGAGAAUUACUGUGAUUUUGGACUAUUUAUCGCGUGAUUCAGAAGCACGUGUACUUAAGUAGCGUCCGAAAUCGUUUACUUACCUACAAUAUAGUAGGAGAAACAGUAUGCGAACACAGUAAUAUGUCCGAAUCCUCAGUAUUCAUAAAAUCAGUAUGCAA
Non-coding RNA from Paramisgurnus dabryanus, 1274 nucleotides. Lineage: Eukaryota; Metazoa; Chordata; Actinopteri; Cypriniformes; Cobitidae. The record is from RefSeq and is a predicted model, not a curated record.